AUACUGCAGUCGAACGCUUCUUUUUCCACCGGAGCUUGCUCCACCGGAAAAAGAGGAGUGGCGAACGGGUGAGUAACACGUGGGUAACCUGCCCAUCAGAAGGGGAUAACACUUGGAAACAGGUGCUAAUACCGUAUAACAAUCGAAACCGCAUGGUUUUGAUUUGAAAGGCGCUUUCGGGUGUCGCUGAUGGAUGGACCCGCGGUGCAUUAGCUAGUUGGUGAGGUAACGGCUCACCAAGGCGACGAUGCAUAGCCGACCUGAGAGGGUGAUCGGCCACAUUGGGACUGAGACACGGCCCAAACUCCUACGGGAGGCAGCAGUAGGGAAUCUUCGGCAAUGGACGAAAGUCUGACCGAGCAACGCCGCGUGAGUGAAGAAGGUUUUCGGAUCGUAAAACUCUGUUGUUAGAGAAGAACAAGGAUGAGAGUAACUGUUCAUCCCUUGACGGUAUCUAACCAGAAAGCCACGGCUAACUACGUGCCAGCAGCCGCGGUAAUACGUAGGUGGCAAGCGUUGUCCGGAUUUAUUGGGCGUAAAGCGAGCGCAGGCGGUUUCUUAAGUCUGAUGUGAAAGCCCCCGGCUCAACCGGGGAGGGUCAUUGGAAACUGGGAGACUUGAGUGCAGAAGAGGAGAGUGGAAUUCCAUGUGUAGCGGUGAAAUGCGUAGAUAUAUGGAGGAACACCAGUGGCGAAGGCGGCUCUCUGGUCUGUAACUGACGCUGAGGCUCGAAAGCGUGGGGAGCAAACAGGAUUAGAUACCCUGGUAGUCCACGCCGUAAACGAUGAGUGCUAAGUGUUGGAGGGUUUCCGCCCUUCAGUGCUGCAGCUAACGCAUUAAGCACUCCGCCUGGGGAGUACGACCGCAAGGUUGAAACUCAAAGGAAUUGACGGGGGCCCGCACAAGCGGUGGAGCAUGU
This 919-nucleotide ribosomal RNA is filed under the name Enterococcus hirae. RNAcentral describes it as "bacterial SSU rRNA". It matches the Rfam family "Bacterial small subunit ribosomal RNA", at positions 51 to 942 of the family's 1533-position model. Lineage: Bacteria; Bacillati; Bacillota; Bacilli; Lactobacillales; Enterococcaceae. The record is from RNAcentral.